Molecule: long non-coding RNA, 325 nt
Organism: Ceratosolen solmsi marchali
Lineage: Eukaryota; Metazoa; Arthropoda; Insecta; Hymenoptera; Agaonidae
Exons: 3
Source: RefSeq, a predicted model, not a curated record
UAUUACGUGGUUUCAGAAAUAAAAACUUACGUAUAAAAAGACGAAAUUUAAAAUAUUAAUUAUUGCGGAAGUGCUAACUAAUCGCAUCAUAUUCAAUCAUAUACAUUAUGCAGUUUUUAAUCUUUUUCUACUUUUGUGCUAUGUUUGCACUCGUCGUGUCUGGGAUUCCACUUGUUGGCCAAAAUCCAUGUACUUGGGGACCUACGUAUUGGUGUCAAAAUCCGGACACCAUAGCUGAAUGCCAGGCUGAAAUAUAUUGUUCAACCCAUUAGGAAUAUACAUACUCAUGUAUAUAUAUAUAUAUAUAUAUAUAUAUAUAUAUAUU